This 485-nucleotide ribosomal RNA is filed under the name uncultured bacterium. Its description in RNAcentral is "partial 16S ribosomal RNA". It matches the Rfam family "Bacterial small subunit ribosomal RNA", at positions 28 to 508 of the family's 1533-position model. The record is from RNAcentral.
AUUGAACGCUGGCGGCAUGCUUUACACAUGCAAGUCGAACGGCAGCGCGGGCUUCGGCCUGGCGGCGAGUGGCGAACGGGUGAGUAAUGCAUCGGAACGUGCCCAGUAGUGGGGGAUAGCCCGGCGAAAGCCGGAUUAAUACCGCAUACGACCUGAGGGUGAAAGCGGGGGACCGAAAGGCCUCGCGCUAUUGGAGCGGCCGAUGUCGGAUUAGCUAGUUGGUGGGGUAAAGGCUUACCAAGGCGACGAUCCGUAGCUGGUCUGAGAGGACGACCAGCCACACUGGGACUGAGACACGGCCCAGACUCCUACGGGAGGCAGCAGUGGGGAAUUUUGGACAAUGGGGGCAACCCUGAUCCAGCCAUGCCGCGUGCGGGAAGAAGGCCUUCGGGUUGUAAACCGCUUUUGUUCGGGAAGAAAGCCUCUGGGCUAAUACCCCGGGGGGAUGACGGUACCGGAAGAAUAAGCACCGGCUAACUACGUGC